Molecule: ribosomal RNA, 407 nt
Filed under: uncultured prokaryote
Also listed under: 1 other name
Description: bacterial SSU rRNA
Rfam family: Bacterial small subunit ribosomal RNA
Source: RNAcentral
UAGGGAAUAUUGGGCAAUGGGCGCAAGCCUGACCCAGCAACGCCGCGUGAGGGAAGAAGGUUUUCGGAUUGUAAACCUCUGUCCUUGGUGACGAAACAAAUGACGGUAGCCAAGGAGGAAGCCCCGGCUAACUACGUGCCAGCAGCCGCGGUAAUACGUAGGGGGCGAGCGUUGUCCGGAAUUACUGGGCGUAAAGGGUGCGUAGGCGGCUGUUUAAGUUGGAUGUGAAAUCCCCGGGCUUAACCUGGGGGGUGCAUUCAAAACUGGGCAGCUAGAGUACAGGAGAGGGAAGCGGAAUUCCUAGUGUAGCGGUGAAAUGCGUAGAUAUUAGGAGGAACACCAGUGGCGAAGGCGGCUUUCUGGACUGUAACUGACGCUGAGGCACGAAAGCGUGGGGAGCAAACAGG